GAAUUCUUACCACUAAACUACAGCCACUUGAAU
This 33-nucleotide small RNA is filed under the name Arabidopsis thaliana (thale cress). RNAcentral's name for it is "ATSL004850". The record is from RNAcentral. Lineage: Eukaryota; Viridiplantae; Streptophyta; Magnoliopsida; Brassicales; Brassicaceae.